AGGAUACUACAACUUCUAAAACUUUUGCUAAAAAUGGUCUAUCUUCAAGCCGUUCUUUCUGUUACUUGAUCAUUUAAAGCGAUGUAUGUUUGAGAACUCGUCUCAUUACAAUGUAUCAUUUGGUAUGUUUCCCCAUCCUUUAUUUUGAAAGGCUGCAGACUUUUUCUGAAGCUAUGUUUCCCCAUUUUUUAUUUUGAAAGGUUUCGGACUACUUAGAAGUUAUUCAGAUUCAGGAAAGUGUUUAUAAUUUUAAUAAAGUGGUCAUUUUCUCUCCUUCCCCUUAGUCACUUGAGCCAUUUGAGAAUCAGAUACUCAGCAUGUUCAUCCCAAGCCUCUAACUUCAGCAUCGGGGAGCUGGAUGAGCAUCAUCUUUACAUCCCAGUCAGAGAGGCCCACACCUACCUCUGAAGAAAUUGUCCCAAAGACAUGCUCUGGUGAAGGAAAACUGAUGUUCCCAACAGGAUGUAUGAAAUAAAUGGGGCGCAACCCGUAGGACCAGUGCUGGCUGGAGCAGCCCACCACACAGAGAGUCAGCAGAAUAAGUCCAGCUAGAAGUUUUGGACUCGGCUCCAUUCUAAGGAACGUCAGUGUGACAAUAAAAAUAGACCCAGACUGGGUUGAGCAAAGACUUCUUUGGUGAAAAGCCUAACACUGGUGUCACUAACCCGGCAGAAGACGGAAGUGGGAGUCAUCUAUGGUUUUCACAUGCAGAGCCGGGAUUGGCAUUUCUCCUCGAGUAGGAUGCUAAACCAGUCAUUUGUUGCCCAGUGUCCUGUGAAAUAAUUACAUCUGCAAGCAUCUUGGCAUGAAGAGCAACGUCGUUCCACCAGGUGGCGCAGUACCAGGUGGCUGCUUCGCCCAGCCUCCUCUGUGGAGGUGGUCAGAUCCGUGAUAGGACACUGAAUAAUUUAAGCGCCAUUCUGACACGGAGGAGUGCAAUCUUAUCUCACUGUAAAGACCCGUGGAGCUGGUCCUUCAACACAUAUUGAAGAAAU
Molecule: long non-coding RNA, 995 nt
Organism: Mesoplodon densirostris (Blainville's beaked whale)
Lineage: Eukaryota; Metazoa; Chordata; Mammalia; Artiodactyla; Ziphiidae
Exons: 5
Source: RefSeq, a predicted model, not a curated record